This 375-nucleotide ribosomal RNA is filed under the name uncultured eukaryote. RNAcentral's name for it is "partial 18S ribosomal RNA". It matches the Rfam family "Eukaryotic small subunit ribosomal RNA", at positions 592 to 976 of the family's 1831-position model. The record is from RNAcentral.
CAAUAGCGUAUAUUUAAGUUGUUGCAGUUAAAAAGCUCGUAGUUGGAUUUCGGUUAAGAGCGACCGGUCCGCCGUUUGGUGUGCACUGGUUGGUUUUAACUUCCUGUAGAGGACGUGCUCUGGGUUUAACGACCUGGACUCGGAGUCUACGUGGUUACUUUGAAAAAAUUAGAGUGUUCAAAGCGGGCUUACGCUUGAAUAUUUCAGCAUGGAAUAACACUAUAGGACUCCUGUCCUAUUUCGUUGGUCUCGGGACGGGAGUAAUGAUUAAGAGGAACAGUUGGGGGCAUUCGUAUUUCAUUGUCAGAGGUGAAAUUCUUGGAUCUAUGAAAGACGAACUUCUGCGAAAGCAUUUGCCAAGGAUGUUUUCAUUAA